This 468-nucleotide ribosomal RNA is filed under the name Triticum aestivum (bread wheat). RNAcentral's name for it is "partial small subunit ribosomal RNA". Lineage: Eukaryota; Viridiplantae; Streptophyta; Magnoliopsida; Poales; Poaceae. The record is from RNAcentral.
AUGAAUAUGCUGGCCUGGAACUGUCGAGGCUUGGGGUUGGACUCGACAGUUGGCGAACUUCGUGAACUGGUUAGGUCCCACAACCCAGCGGUGGUGUUCUUGAGUGAAACUAAAAAGAGUGCAAGGGCUAUGGAGAAACUGAAAUGGAGUUUGGGUUUUAGAAGCGGUGUGGCGGUGAGUUGUGUAGGCAAAAGUGGUGGUCUUGCUCUAUGGUGGAGGGAACAUGUGCAGGUGACAAUUCGGCCGUGGUGCCAAUACUUUCUUGAUGCUGAAGUGGUACUGGAUAGCAAAAAUCUUAGAAUCACUGGAUUCUACGGGGAGCCAGAUACCGAGAAAAGGAAUAAAUCAUGGGAUGCAUUAAGAUACUUGCAGACACGGCACAGCCUCCCUUGGUUGUGUGCAGGAGACUUUAAUGAGGCCAUGUUCCAAUUUGACCAGCAAGGUGGCAAUUUGAGAAGUUUCUCUUAG